GUCCUCUUGUUUGUUAUACGAGGUCAAGCCUGCCCGGUGAUAAUUAUUUAACGGCCGCGGUAUUUUGACCGUGCAAAGGUAGCAUAAUCAUUAGUCUUUUAAUAGGGGGCUGGAAUGAAGGGCUUGACGAGGCACUAACUGUCUCAAUUUAAUAAUUUAAAAUUUAGCUUUUGGGUUAAAAGGCUCAAAUUUUUUUGGAAGACGAGAAGACCCUAUAGAGCUUUAAUGGUCGAUUUUAAUAGCUGUUUUGUUUUAUUUUUAUUGUUGUUUAUUAGACUUUUUUGUUGGGGCGACAAAAGAUAUAUAUUUAACUUUUAUUAUUUAUUUUACAUUUAUUUAUGGUUUUUAGAUCCAUUAUUAUUGAUUAAUAGAGUAAGUUACCUUAGGGAUAACAGCGUAAUCUUCCUCCAGAGCUCGAAUUUACAGGAAGGCUUGCGACCUCGAUGUUGGAUUAAGAUAAUGAUUGGGUGCAGCAGCCCAGUUAAUAGGUCUGUUCGACCUUUAAAUUCUU
This 511-nucleotide ribosomal RNA is filed under the name Mnais mneme. RNAcentral's name for it is "partial 16S rRNA". It matches the Rfam family "Archaeal large subunit ribosomal RNA", at positions 1921 to 2666 of the family's 2987-position model. The record is from RNAcentral. Lineage: Eukaryota; Metazoa; Arthropoda; Insecta; Odonata; Calopterygidae.